CCUACGGGUGGCAGCAGUAAGGAAUAUUGGUCAAUGGGGGCAACCCUGAACCAGCCAUGCCGCGUGCAGGAAGACGCCCUAUGGGUUGUAAACUGCUUUUAUCUGGGAAUAUGUACCAGAAGAAUAAGGAUCGGCUAACUCCGUGCCAGCAGCCGCGGUAAUACGGAGGAUCCAAGCGUUAUCCGGAUUUAUUGGGUUUAAAGGGUGCGUAGGCGGCCUGUUAAGUCAGGGGUGAAAGACGGUAGCUCAACUAUCGCAGUGCCCUUGAUACUGAUGGGCUUGAAUGGACUAGAGGUAGGCGGAAUGAGACAAGUAGCGGUGAAAUGCAUAGAUAUGUCUCAGAACACCGAUUGCGAAGGCAGCUUACUAUGGCUAUUGACGCUGAGGCACGAAAGCGUGGGGAUCAAACAGGAUUAGAUACCCUUGUAGUC
This 431-nucleotide ribosomal RNA is filed under the name uncultured bacterium. RNAcentral describes it as "partial 16S ribosomal RNA". It matches the Rfam family "Bacterial small subunit ribosomal RNA", at positions 338 to 795 of the family's 1533-position model. The record is from RNAcentral.